Molecule: transfer RNA, 89 nt
Filed under: Microbacterium sp. RD02
Lineage: Bacteria; Bacillati; Actinomycetota; Actinomycetes; Micrococcales; Microbacteriaceae
Also listed under: 4 other names
Description: tRNA-Met
Source: RNAcentral
CGCAGUAUUCGCCGUAUAUCAAGUCUAUAUGGCCAGGUGCCUCACGACUCAUAAUCGUGAGGUCGCGGGUUCAAGCCCCGCUCCUGCUA